Molecule: ribosomal RNA, 228 nt
Filed under: uncultured bacterium
Lineage: Bacteria
Description: partial 16S ribosomal RNA
Rfam family: Bacterial small subunit ribosomal RNA
Source: RNAcentral
UGGGUGACCUGCCCUCAGCUCUGGGAUAAGCCUGGGAAACUGGGUCUAAUACUGGAUAUUCACUUCUCAUCGCAUGGUGGGUGGUGGAAAGUUUUUUCGGCUGGGGAUGGGCCCGCGGCCUAUCAGCUUGUUGGUGGGGUGAUGGCCUACCAAGGCGACGACGGGUAGCCGGCCUGAGAGGGCGACCGGCCACACUGGGACUGAGACACGGCCCAGACUCCUACAGGA